This 468-nucleotide ribosomal RNA is filed under the name uncultured bacterium. RNAcentral's name for it is "partial 16S ribosomal RNA". It matches the Rfam family "Bacterial small subunit ribosomal RNA", at positions 28 to 507 of the family's 1533-position model. The record is from RNAcentral.
GACGAACGCUGGCGGCGUGCUUAACACAUGCAAGUCGAACGGAAAGGCCCUGCUUUUGUUGGGUGCUCGAGUGGCGAACGGGUGAGUAACACGUGAGUAACCUGCCCUUUACUUUGGGAUAACUUCAGGAAACUGGGGCUAAUACCGGAUAUUAGCUCCUGCUGCCUUGUGGGGGUUUGAAAGUUUCGGCGGUUGGGGAUGGUCUCGCGGCUUACCAGCUUGUUGGUGGGGUAGUGGCUUACUAAGGCUUUGACGGGUAGCCGGCCUGCGAGGGUGGGCGGCGACAUUGGGACUGAGAUACGGCCCAGACUCGUACGGGAGGAAGCAGUGGGGAGUAUGGCACACUGGGCGGAAGCCUGAUGCAGAAACGCCGCGUGCGGGAUGACGGCCUUCGGGUUGUAAACCGCUUAAGCCGGUGACGAAGCGGGAGUGACGGUAAUGGGUAAAGAAGCACCGGCUAACUACGUG